RNAcentral lists this unclassified non-coding RNA (149 nucleotides) under uncultured Phaeosphaeria. Its description in RNAcentral is "partial internal transcribed spacer 2". The record is from RNAcentral. Lineage: Eukaryota; Fungi; Ascomycota; Dothideomycetes; Pleosporales; Phaeosphaeriaceae.
GUACUCUCAAGCCUUGCUUGGUGUUGGGUGUUUGUCUUCGCCUCGCUUAGACUCGCCUUAAAUAUAUUGGCAGCCGGUAUACUGGUUUGAAGCGCAGCACAAUUGCAUUUCAGGCUCUUAGUACUAGCAUCCACAAAGAUUAUCAACAC